Drosophila virilis is the source of this 476-nucleotide non-coding RNA. The record is from RefSeq and is a predicted model, not a curated record. NCBI's taxonomy places the organism in Eukaryota, Metazoa, Arthropoda, Insecta, Diptera, Drosophilidae.
UGUUCAGUUUGAGCUUGAAGUAUGUUUCUUUUUUUGAUAUACUUGUGUUGUGCAGUUGAAGGCAACUUUUGCAGCUCAUCUGUAAGUUUGUGGCAUUUAAAACUGUGUCUAGUCGCGUUUGUUGCGUGCAUAUCCUUGUUGCACACAGUUGGGAUACCCUUUCGAAGGAUACUCGAAUUUGCAAAUCAAAUAUGUAACGCCUUGAGGGCCGAGUCUAUAAGCCAGCAAACAGAGCGUCCCGUGUUCCCGUGUUCCGUGGCCCGUUUGAUGCUGCUCAUGAGGGUAAUCAGCGGAAAUUGAGUUAUCCCGAAAGGACAUUAUGACAUAUGCCAUUACAGGAUCAAGAUUUGAGCUGGGCUGAGCUGGCUCUUGUGUAGCAAAAACUCGGACUACUUUAAGUUUAUUUUUGAGCCUGAUUUGUGUUUGGGUUGAAGCAGCUCACAGAGUUGAAUAAAGUAAAUAUAGUAAAAAAAAAA